GACGAACGCUGGCGGCGUGCUUAACACAUGCAAGUCGAACGGAAAGGCCCUGCUUUUGUGGGGUGCUCGAGUGGCGAACGGGUGAGUAACACGUGAGUAACCUGCCCUUGACUUUGGGAUAACUUCAGGAAACUGGGGCUAAUACCGGAUAGGAGCUCCUGCUGCAUGGUGGGGGUUGGAAAGUUUCGGCGGUUGGGGAUGGACUCGCGGCUUAUCAGCUUGUUGGUGGGGUAGUGGCUUACCAAGGCUUUGACGGGUAGCCGGCCUGAGAGGGUGACCGGCAAAAUUGGGACUGAGAUACGGCCCAGACUCCUACGGGAGGAAGCAGUGGGGAAUAUUGCACAAUGGGCGGAAGCCUGAUGCAGCAACGCCGCGUGCGGGAUGACGGCCUUCGGGUUGUAAACCGCUUUCGCAUGUGACGAAGCGUGAGUGACGGUAAUGGGUAAAGAAGCACCGGCUAACUACGUG
RNAcentral lists this ribosomal RNA (468 nucleotides) under uncultured bacterium. RNAcentral describes it as "partial 16S ribosomal RNA". It matches the Rfam family "Bacterial small subunit ribosomal RNA", at positions 28 to 507 of the family's 1533-position model. The record is from RNAcentral.